UACAGAGGUCCCGAGCGUUGUUCGGAUUCACUGGGCGUACAGGGUGCGUAGGUGGUGAGGUAAGUCGGAUGUGAAAUCUCCGGGCUCAACCCGGAAAUGGCAUUGGAAACUACCUUGCUGGAGGAUUUGAGGGGGGAUUGGAAUACUUGGUGUAGCAGUGAAAUGCGUAGAUAUCAAGUGGAACACCAGUGGCGAAGGCGAAUCCCUGGAAAAUACCUGACACUGAGGCACGAAAGCUAGGGGAGCAAACAGG
This 253-nucleotide ribosomal RNA is filed under the name uncultured bacterium. RNAcentral's name for it is "partial 16S ribosomal RNA". It matches the Rfam family "Bacterial small subunit ribosomal RNA", at positions 524 to 776 of the family's 1533-position model. The record is from RNAcentral.